Molecule: long non-coding RNA, 1919 nt
Filed under: Sorghum bicolor (sorghum)
Lineage: Eukaryota; Viridiplantae; Streptophyta; Magnoliopsida; Poales; Poaceae
Description: long non-coding RNA (SBIC_LNC005459)
Source: RNAcentral
UGCCAUGGAGGGGAGCCCCUGGUGGGCCCAAACCAUGGUCGGCCGACCGGGGUUAUGGGGCCCACAGGGCUCAUUUCCUUCUUUCCUGCAUUGAACAAGCUAAGAGUACAAGUGGAACUUUAUUAGUGAUAAAUAUGUUCAUGUGAUGCUUAUCUUCCUUCAAUCGAGGACUGUUGACGGGCUUUUGAGUAUAUAGAACUAGGUCUUAUUUCCCGUCAACACCUAUGCAUAAUAAUUAAAAGAUGUUUUAUUCAUGACCACAAGAUAGACUUAUACCAUGAUAAUUCCGAGAAAUUCAUGUUGUUGUUGGCAACUUUAAUAUAGGGACCCCAUAUUACUUAAUUUGUUGUGGAAAGAGAGAUAGUAUGAAUAUGAGAUCUUGAUUUCUGAUGCCUAGUCAUUUGGAGAAUUUUACUUUUCAAAUCUUAAAAUGAUUACUAUACUUUCUCCUCUGUGGCAAGAAUUAAUGUCCUACUAGAGCCAUGCAUGAUAGAUAUAAACCAGCUCAUAAGCUACUUUCUUUGUAUUGAGUUUUGUCAAACAUUAUUGACCUAUGUCGAGAGGAUUGUCAUGCUCCUAAGAUCAAGAUCAUGUACACCCACAUAUAUCUGCCAUUCCUACACUGGCAAUGCACACAAACAUGUCUUUCCAUUCACUAAAAAUGUUUUACUCCUACAUUGAGAGGAAACACAAAAAGAGUUUUAGUAGGAAUAAUUGCUUUAAGUUCUUUAAAAAGUCUUUCUCAAUAUUUUCUGGUUACAAAAGGAGGUGUGUGGCUAUGCAAAAUAAAAGUAUUGAAAAAAAUGAGAGAAAGAGAAAAAAGACAGGUGUCCUAGAAAGAAAGAAAAAUAAAAGAUAGCCCAUACCAUCCUGUGCAAAGACCAUAAGUGCUUUAGAGAAAGAAAGACAUUUUCAAAAGAGCAAUGCAGAAUUACGAUUAGCCACUAUAUAUUCCACACACAUGCACUUCUUGAUCUAAGAGUAUGUUAUUCCCCUCCAUGGAUCUGAGUUUUGACUUAGCAAGAUAUGCAAGGUAAGUAUGCUAUUUCCUUGAAUUACCUUUAACUCCAUAUAAGCCUAUAUAGAGUAGGAUGUAUCUAUCUACUUUGGUGAGUUCCACAAAUACCACAUAUAAUGAGUGAUUUGAGUGUGCUACAUGAUGGAGAAGGAUAAGCUAUUUUUUCUUUGCAAAAAUAUUAUAAAACUCCAAGUGACAGGGCUAAAGGAAAAGAGAACUCUAUUUUGUACUGUUCCAUCCUCAACCUCUCAAAGUUUUAUGGUAGACACUUUGAAUCCCGCAGUAUAGGUAUGACUUGGAAUAAAUCUAGUGAUGUCUUGGUUUGAGGUUAUGAUUAAAAUAGUCUAUCUAUCCUUUUUCCUCGAGGACGAGUAAAAGAUAAGUGUGGGGGAGUUUGUUGAUGGUAGAUAACUCCUAAUUUUAACCGUCAACUUAACAUGAAAAGGACCUAUUUGCAUGCACUCAGUAGAAAUAGGGUUAUCACUAACAAAAUUUUACGAGUUUUGGUGACUGUUUAUUUCUACAGGGGGUUAUCGGAAUAAUGACAAAAGGAGGUCCACAUGUCAGAUUUACAUAGAGAGAAGACCGGAACGCCAACUCAGGAAGACUCUAGAAGACUCUAGGAGCCACCACCGGAAAGGUGGGGCCCAUCUAUCAUAGGGCAGGGGCGGCCGCCUGGGGGCAGAGACCAAUCAGAUUUGUUCUCGUGGAUCCUGCCUCCACUGACUUUGAGGAUUAAUCUUAAGUGCACGUUUAAGUCAGUUUGAUCCAAGGGCUGUGGUGAUUCCUAGGGGGCUAUAAAUAAAGACCCUACCCCCUGAGAUGUAACUCUGAAAUCCUAAUUCAUAUUUUCCAGAGAGAGAUAGAUAGAGAGGGCUCCCUCAAAUGGAUCUGUCUCUUU